Molecule: long non-coding RNA, 1402 nt
Organism: Oncorhynchus nerka (sockeye salmon)
Lineage: Eukaryota; Metazoa; Chordata; Actinopteri; Salmoniformes; Salmonidae
Exons: 3
Source: RefSeq, a predicted model, not a curated record
CAACAGACAGUGAGAAGACACGAGAGAACAGGCCAUUAUUCAACAGACAGAUGAGAAGACACGAGAGAACAGGCCAUUAUUCAACAGACAGGAGAAGACACGAGAGAACAGGCCAUUAUUCAACAGAGAAGACACGAGAGAACAGGCCAUUAUUCAACAGACAGGAGAAGACACGAGAGAACAGGCCAUUAUCCAACAGACAGUAGAAGACACGAGAGAACAGGCCAUUAUUCAACAGACAGUAGAAGACACGAGAGAACAGGCCAUUAUUCAACAGACAGUAGAAGACACGAGAGAACAGGCCAUUAUCCAACAGACAGUAGAAGACACGAGAGAACAGGCCAUUAUUCAACAGACAGUAGAAGACACGAGAGAACAGGCCAUUAUCCAACAGACAGUAGAAGACACGAGAGAACAGGCCAUUAUCCAACAGACAGUAGAAGACACGAGAGAACAGGCCAUUAUUCAACAGACAGUAGAAGACACGAGAGAACAGGCCAUUAUCCAACAGACAGUAGAAGACACGAGAGAACAGGCCAUUAUUCAACAGACAGUAGAAGACACGAGAGAACAGGCCAUUAUUCAACAGACAGAUGAGAAGACACGAGAGAACAGGCCAUUAUCCAACAGACAGAUGAGAAGACACGAGAGAACAGGCCAUUAAGCAAAACCACGAAGGCUAUAAAAAAAAUAGGUGUUCAGUGAGUCACUGGGUUUUGGUGCAGAAAUAACCGUCUCAGGCGGAGAUGAUGUGAGAGUCCCGCUGGUCCACGACACUGGAGAGGGUAUCAGAACAGCUGUGUGUGAAUCAGAGCACAUGUGCACACACACACACACACACACACAAAGUACAUGCACACACUACGACUGAAACAGCAUGCUAAUUACUGAGGCAGAUUUGACAUGUCACCUUUGUUGCUGGUUUAGUUGUUAUUUUGCUGAGGAUUUAACACUGACUAGAAUGUUCUCUCUCUUCACAGUGAGCACAGCUCCAGCACCCAAACCAACGGUGAAGAUGUCUAAGAACAAGAAGAAGAAGAUGAAGAAGAAACAGAAGAAGCAGGCAGAGAUGUUAGAGAAGAGGAUUCAGGAGAUGGAGGGAGCGCCGGAAGGAGUAGAGGAAGAGGAGGAGGGGGAGGAAGAGACCACUGCAGACACUUCCGCUCCUCGUCUGACACGCUACAGGACACGGCUAAUGAUUUCACAGCAGGUCCAGAUAAACCGGAAGAGAAGCAGGAGGAGGAGGAGAGCAGGAUGGAGAAGCAGGAGGAGGAGGAGAGCAGGAUGGAGGUGACCUGCAACGGCCACGCAGAGGAAGACACUGCAAGCCAGGAGGUACAAAGGACUGAGGAAGAAGAGGAGAAAGACGAAGAGGACCAACAGAAAGCCAACAAACUCAACG